AGUAAAGAUGGGGUUUCACCAUAUUGGUCAUGCUGGUCUUGAAUUCCUGACCUCGUGAUCCGCCCACCUCAGCUUUCCAAAAUGCUGGGAUUACAGGCAUGAGCCACCACACCCGGACUCCUUUUUUUUAAACAUUCAAAAUGAACAUCAUUGACAUGAGUCCUAUUUGCAGAGGCAGGUGGGGGGGACUAGUAUUAAACUUAAAUUGCAUGCUAACUUAUUGCAUAAAGGAACAGCAAUGAGGAAAUUGGCACUAAUUUUUAGCCACUACCAUUUUGACAGAUGGACUUGUUUGAAAAGUUGCAGCAUGGGGGCAAUGAGAAUUCUACGCUUUUAUCCUGAAAUCAGACCCCACGUGGCAUCACCAAGCCGGGUGGGCUGUAGCAAGUUUAGGGGCCACAGGGCCACAAGUGCAAACCACUGAGACUUAUGGAGGCAUUAUCACACGUCAUUGUCACAACUCCAUAAAGUAGGCCUGUUAUUAUCCCCAUUGUCCAAAUAAGGGAGCAGAGACCUAAUAUCCCACAGCUAGUCCAGCUGAGCAAGGCUCCAACUUGAGAUUCAUUGGCUGCAGACCCCGCUCAUGACCAUGACCCUUUGUAUCUUACUGGACAAAACGGCCUCUAAGUCCUUUGCCUCUCUAAACUGUUUGGUUUCCAUGCUCCUAUCUCCCACAUUUAUUAUUCCUGCCACCAGCCGCAGGUUAGAGGCCAGGACUACACUGUCGUCUGGACUGGAUACCAGGUUGCCUUUGCAGCCAGGAAACACUUCAGCAGACCCUUCGCCCUGGGACACAGAGUGAGUAGCAGGUCAGAGAAGGGCUCAGAAGAGGGCGGCCUCGGCAAAGCGAUGGGCCAUGCCCGGGGGUGCUUUCACUCCGCAGCCUCCAUGGGUUUCAGUGGUAGCAAGUGUGGGGCUGCAGGCCCGUAAUCCCAGUACUCAGGGAGGCUGAAGUGGGAGGAUCGCUUGAGCCUAGGAGUUCAAGACCAGUCUGGGCAACACAGCGAGACCCUAUUUCUACAAAAUUUUUUUAAAAGUUAGACAGGCGUGGUGGCAUGUGCCUCUAAUCCCACCCACCCGGGAAGCUGGGGUGGGAGGAAGGCUUGAGCCCAUGAGGUUGAGGCUGCAAUGAGCCGUGAUCAUGCCACUACACUCCAGCCUGGAUGACAGGGCAACAUCCUGUCUCAAAAAAAAAAAAAUGGUAGCAAGUGGUGACUUGGUGACAGAGCAGCUUCUGCUUUCCAGCCCCACAUCACUUCCCUUAUCACAAAUCCGCAUCCCCCCAUUCAUGACGGCACUGUCCUCUUUCCGUCUCUCAUGCACACUGUGCUACACUGCCCAGAUCCCCCCACUAGGACUGAAGGAUCAGUCUCCCAGCUGCUGGGAAGGUGGUUGAUAGCAGCUCUCUGGUCAAUAUGAGGCAGAAAGCCCUGCCCCGUAGCUCCAGCUCAGGACAGCUCCGAAGGGCCAGCCUAACCCCAGAGCUCCCAGAGGGGGCUGGCUGAGGCUUCGAGAAGGCCCAGCAGCCCCAACUCUCCCUCCCUGCUCCUUCCCCGCUGCCCACAGGUGUUCCUGCUGAAAACACGUCUUAAGAAACUGCUGGCCCGGCCCGGCGCGGUGGCUCAGGCCUGUCAUCCCAGCACUCUGGGAGCCCAAGGUGGGCAGAUCACCUGAGGUCAGGAGUUCGAGACCAGCCUAGCCAACAUGGUGAAACCCCAACUCUACUAAAAAUACAAAAAAUUAGUCAGGUGUGGUGGCGGGCACCUGUAAUCCCAGAUACUCAGGAGGCUGAGGCAGGAGAGCCGCUUGAACCCAGGAGGCAGAGGUUGCAGUGAGCCAAGACCUUGCCAUUGCACUCUAGCCUGGGCAACAAGAGCGAAACUCCAUCUCAAAAAAGAAACUGCUGGUCUGUCAUUUCGUCUCAGAGGUUCCUUCCCAGAAGCAAGUCCUCUCCAUCAUCUUUUCCCUUCUCACUGUGGAAGCCCCCCAGUGUCUGUAUGGUAUUCCAUGGUGUACAUACUAUGCAGCCAUAAAAAAGAAUGAGAUAAUGUCCUUUGCAGGAACAUGAAUGGAGCUGGAGGCCAUCAUCCUUAGCAAAGUUACGCAGGAAGAGAAAACCAAAUACCGCAUGUUCUCAUUUGUAAGUGGGAGCUAAAUGAUGAGAACACAUGGACACAUAGACACGAAAAGCACACACUGGGGUCUAUGGAAGGGUGGAGGGAGGGUAGAGGGAGAGACUUAGGAAAAAUAACUAAUGGGUACUAAGCUUAAUCCCUGGGUGAUGAAAUAAUAUAAUCUGUAUGACAAACCCCUGUGACACGAGUUUAACUAUAUAAUAAACCUGCACAUGUACCCCUGAACUUAAAAUAAAAGUGAAAAAAAGAAAAAAGAAAACAGAAAAGAAAAUCAUGAUCUUGGGGAAAAAAAUAAAAAGAAGUCUCCCAAUAUAAAAGGCCGCCAAGUGCUUACAGGAGACCCUUCCCCAGCCCAGUCACAAUUUGGUGCCAGCUUUUCUCCCCAGCAGUGGGGUAAAGGUGGAUGCUCACUUACCACCUGUGGGCUUGGGGUCACGUUUCCCACCUUCCCACAGGUAAGCGGUGAAUGAGCAGUGCAGCAUGGGGAAACCGAGACAACCUUUAAUCAGGAAACCUCAGAGAGACGCAUGACACCUGGCGGUACAGUCCCAGUGAGUGGAAUCCCAGCCGG
RNAcentral lists this long non-coding RNA (2706 nucleotides) under Homo sapiens (human). Its description in RNAcentral is "HSALNT0175807". Lineage: Eukaryota; Metazoa; Chordata; Mammalia; Primates; Hominidae. The record is from RNAcentral.